GACGAACGCUGGCGGCGUGCUUAACACAUGCAAGUCGAACGGAAAGGCCCUGCUUUUGUGCGGUGCUCGAGUGGGGAACGGGUGCGUAACACGUGAGUAACCUGCCCUUGACUUUGGGAUAACUUCAGGAAACUGGGGCUAAUACCGGAUAGGAGCUCCUGCUGCAUGGUGGGGGUUGGAAAGUUUCGGCGGUUGGGGUUGGACGCGCGGCUUAUGAGCUUGUUGGUGGGGUAGUGGCUUACCAAGGCUGUGACGGGUAGCCGGCCUGAGAGGGUGACCGGCCACAUUGGGACUGAGGUACGGCCCAGACUCCUACGGGAGGCAGCAGUGGGGAAUAUUGCACAAUGGGCGGAAGCCUGAUGCAGCAACGCCGCGUGCGGGAUGACGGCCUUCGGGUUGUAAACCGCUUUCGCCUGUGACGAAGCGUGAGUGACGGUAAUGGGUAAAGAAGCACCGGCUAACUACGUG
Molecule: ribosomal RNA, 468 nt
Filed under: uncultured bacterium
Lineage: Bacteria
Description: partial 16S ribosomal RNA
Rfam family: Bacterial small subunit ribosomal RNA
Source: RNAcentral